This is an RNA transcript of Tarenaya hassleriana, 2138 nucleotides long. It is a transcript of the gene named transcription initiation factor TFIID subunit 15b, with no coding region annotated. The transcript is spliced from 7 exons. The record is from RefSeq and is a predicted model, not a curated record. Lineage: Eukaryota; Viridiplantae; Streptophyta; Magnoliopsida; Brassicales; Cleomaceae.
UAGUAGAAGUUCAUUACAUGCUUUGAAGCACGUGUCAUAAGUCUCUCUCUAUAAGGUUUGUGUCCGUUCCCUUUUAACAAAACCCUAGGUCAUGGCUGGGAUGUACAAUCAAGAUGGCGGCGGCGGUGCCCCUCCUCCUUCUUACGGCGGUGACGGUUACGGCGGAGGUGGAGGCUACGGAGGCGAUGGUGGAUAUGGAGGCGGCCGUGGAGGAGGAGGUUACGGCGGACGCGGUGGUAGAGGAAAUCGAGGCGGUGGUGGAUAUCAAGGAGGGGAUCGCGGUGGAAGAGGCAGCGGCGGCGGUAGAGGUGGCGGUCGCGGAGGAGGUGGUGGCGGUGGCGGUGGCAGAGAUGGAGAUUGGCGCUGCCCCAACCCUAGCUGCGGGAACGUGAAUUUUGCGAGAAGAAUUGAGUGUAACAAGUGUGGUACACCCGCUCCUGCUGGUACGGGUGAUCGUGGAGGUGGUGGAUAUAACCGGGGAGGAGGUGCUGGAGGUUAUGGCGGUAGUCGAGGAGGUAGAAAUGAUAGUGGUAGGAGCAACAGCUAUGAUGGUGGUAGAUUUGACGCUAGGAGUGGUGGUAGUGGUGGUGGUGGUAGAUAUGGUAACAAUCAGCAGAGGGAAAAUGAAACUUACGGGCAGGCACCUCCGGCUGCUAUCCCUUCAUAUGAUGGGUCUGGUGGCAAUUAUCCACCACCCUCGGGUCCAGCGGGUAGCUAUCCAAGCUACGGAAUGGAGGCAGUUCCGCCACCUUCGAGUUAUGCUGGUGGGCCUCCGUCAUACCCUCCGUCCUAUGGUGGUGCUGUUGGAGGUUACAAUGGGGAUGGGCAGAGGAGUGGUGGUAGAGGUGGUGGUCCAGCUGGUGGUGGUGCUCCACGUCGCCAAGAGGGUGGUUAUGGAGAUGCUGCUGCUGAUUCCCGUACCCAAGUCAAGCAGUGUGAUGGGGAUUGCGAUGAGACAUGUGAUAAUGCGAGAAUAUACAUUUCAAACUUGCCUCCAGAUGUGACCACUGAUGAACUCAGAGAUCUCUUUGGUGGCAUUGGCCAGGUUGGGAGAAUUAAGCAGAAGCGGGGCUAUAAAGAUCAGUGGCCCUGGAAUAUCAAAAUCUAUACUGAUGAAAAGGGAAACAAUAAAGGCGACGCGUGCCUUGCUUAUGAAGAUCCUAGUGCUGCGCAUUCUGCAGGCGGCUUUUUCAACAAUUAUGAAAUGAGAGGGCAUAAGAUCAGCGUUGUGAUGGCGGAGAAGUCUGCCCCUCGUGCUCCUGCAUAUGACCAGAGAGGUGGUGGGAGAGGUGGCUAUGGUGGUGGGGGAGACAGAAGAAGGGAUAACUAUGGUUCGGGACCAGAUAGAAACUACCAUGGUGGAAACCGGUCGAGACCAUACUGAGAGAGAAGAGAGCAGCUGUUGGGCUCUACUGUUGAGUGUAGUAAAAAAAAAAAAAAGAAUGUGUUUGAGGGGAUUUUAGUAAUGUUACAUUGAUGAUGGGAGUUGUUCUAUGAAACAUCAUAUGGAGAUAAAAGAGAAGCAAGAGGAUAGAAUAACUCCAAAACGCUUUGCUGGUAAGGUAGGUUCAUGAUGAUUUCAGGUGAGUCUUCCCCCUCACGUUCAAUCUUAUUUCUUUCCCUCUUUUAAUUUGGAAACUCCAUUCUAGUGUAGCUUUACCAUCUUGGUUUAAUAAACAUAUAUGGGGCAGAUUCAUCCCUAUACUUGCUUCAUUUUAGGCCUCUGUUCAGGUUUACAGAACCAACCCAGACCACCAACAAACUGUUUCCGGCCAUUGUUAUGGUUCUGCUUUUUAUAUACACGCAUACACACACAAGAAAAAAAGAGUUUUUAUUUAUUGAAGAGCUGGGAGGGGGGAGAGUAGGAGCAGCACUUGAAGGGUAUUUAGAUGAAAAUGUGGUAGAUGUGGAGGUGUUGCCCCGUGUAUGUCUCCAGUUCAGGCGUCAAGAAUUAUCUAUUUACAUAUAAUACGAUCCAAGUUCCCUCUUGUCGUUAUGAGAUUAGAGCUAACCUUUUUCAUAUACGGAAUAGAGGGUCUUUUGUCCUUUUUUAGUUUUGUCCAAAAGAUUGCCCUACUUUUUAUUUGUAUCACGCUUAUGUACUAUUCAUGACUAUGGAAACAAAGGUUAUAUAAAUA